RNAcentral lists this ribosomal RNA (533 nucleotides) under uncultured bacterium. Its description in RNAcentral is "bacterial SSU rRNA". It matches the Rfam family "Bacterial small subunit ribosomal RNA", at positions 7 to 531 of the family's 1533-position model. The record is from RNAcentral.
GAGAGUUUGAUCAUGGCUCAGAUUGAACGCUGGCGGCAGGCUUAACACAUGCAAGUCGAGCGGAAACGAUGAUAGCUUGCUAUCAGGCGUCGAGCGGCGGACGGGUGAGUAAUGCUUGGGAAUAUGCCUUUUGGUGGGGGACAACAGUUGGAAACGACUGCUAAUACCGCAUAAUGUCUGAGGACCAAAGCGGGGGACCUUCGGGCCUCGUGCCAAAAGAUUAGCCCAAGUGAGAUUAGCUAGUUGGUGGGGUAAAGGCCUACCAAGGCGACGAUCUCUAGCUGGUUUGAGAGGAUGAUCAGCCACACUGGGACUGAGACACGGCCCAGACUCCUACGGGAGGCAGCAGUGGGGAAUAUUGCACAAUGGGGGAAACCCUGAUGCAGCCAUGCCGCGUGUGUGAAGAAGGCCUUCGGGUUGUAAAGCACUUUCAGUGGGGAGGAAAGGAUAUAAGUUAAUACCUUAUAUCUGUGACGUUACCCACAGAAGAAGCACCGGCUAACUCCGUGCCAGCAGCCGCGGUAAUACGGAGG